Molecule: long non-coding RNA, 3350 nt
Organism: Aquila chrysaetos chrysaetos
Lineage: Eukaryota; Metazoa; Chordata; Aves; Accipitriformes; Accipitridae
Exons: 6
Source: RefSeq, a predicted model, not a curated record
CUCAAAUUUCCCAGACGGGACUAGGAGCUCAUUGUCUUGCUGGUGUAUAAAUGUGUGGUAAAAUGCAGACCUUCUCCCAGGAUCAGGGAUCCCAAAAGAUUAUAUAAAAUGGCAGACAAACGUUAGUGGUCACUUCUUUGAAUUUUGCUGAUGAUAGUACUUGUCUACUUUUGAAGAGUAUAUAAAGACCUGAGCACUGCAUUCAUGAAAACCAUGCUAACCAUGUCUGACAAUUACAAUUUAGAAAACAAACAACUGCUCCAGCUUACAGGAAGAGCAAAAUAGUGCUCAAUUCCAAGAUAAUAAGAAUUGUUAGAAAAGCAAAACAAAACAUUGUUAUCUGCUGUUUUUCUCCUGGUUUGGAAGAGUGCCAAAUUUGCAUGCUGUGGGGGCUUGUAGAAGCUUUAAAUUAUAAAGACUAACUCUACAUUUUUAGUAGUGCUUUGUGUCAGUGACGUGGCUUCCACACCCUUUGCUACAAUAUACAGGAUUUAUAUUCUAAAUAUAUGAAUCAAUACCAUUGCAAGGCUGGAAAGCACAAACUUUCCAUGAACUUAACAGUGUUGUGAAACCAGUGAAGCUAUGUUGAAGUUAUGUUGCAUUGAAGUGGUUUACUGUUACGGGUGAUGUGGAUGGUGAUGUACUUUACCUUUGUAAUGUCAUGCCAGAAAGAAGAAAAACAGCUGCUUUCCACUACACAUUUUGCGGCCCACUUGCAAGUUGUACAUAGAGUGGUACUGUGACUCCAAAAUCUCUUCCAUCCUCUAAGGAGAUUGAGGAGAUGAGAGGACAAGGAGGAUCAAGGAGACGAAGGGAGAGCUAAUGUCAGCUGGCAGCCUACAGAAGAAACACAUUAGAAAAGUGACCUGCAUCUUAGUUCAGAUUACCAUGUAUUUAAGACUGUCUCAGUUCAGGAGAAGAUGUGGUUCAGCAUACUGAAUCGUCCUUCUUUCUUUAGGAAUCUGUUGUUCUGGGAGGAAAACUGAUGAACUGGCUCAGAUCUACUGGAAGUACAAAUCAAAAUGUGAUGUCAUUAUUGCCAAAUUAUGAAAAAAAUACUGCCUGUGAAAUAUGAAUGUGAAAUACUGCACAGAAAAUGGGGUAUAUACUGUUCAGAUACAUUUGCAGGGGUGGUUCAAGGAGGCAGAAAAUUAGGACUCCAAAUUUGUAAUUAACAAAGACUGAAAAUGAUACUGUGUUACUUCACUCUUUGUUAUGGAGUUCAUUGCGUUAUACUCAUCUUAAUGUAGGCUCAGUGCAGCUACCAGGAAAAACCCCAAACUGUUCAGGCUUCAGCAUCUACCAGCUGCAAAAUCAUUAUUCUUAAUGGUGAGGCAAGAUCCAAUAACAACAACAACAACAACAUCAUCAUCAUCCUGGGAUCUUUCAAACCAAAUGGUCUUUGUAUUACGUCAUAUUUGGAAAAUGGUAUUUCCAACAGCACAGUCAUUGCUGACAUUGUAACGAAGGCACUAGUUCACCAUUCCUACCCUUCCUUUGCCUUUCACUUUUCCUUUCCCCUUCCCCUUCCCCCUUCCCCUUCCCUUGCUUUCCCUUGCCUUGCCUUGCCUGUACUAAAGAGGCCCAGCACACUUUCAGAAGAUCUAUCAAGAUAAUUACCUACAGUGGUGUUGCUGUAGUGGUUUUUAGAUGAGAUUUUGGCUAAUCAACAUUUCAGACCUACUCCGACAGGCAGAGCACAGGAGGAAGAGGAGGAGGAGGAGAGGUAAUGUUACCCAUGUCUCACAAUUUGUAACACAGGAAAUAAUACUAACUGCUGACUGGAAAGGAGGGGAAAGCACAAAGAAAUGUGAUGAUAAAUGUCUUUGUAAGUGCAUGCUCAUUUACCACAGUUGAAGAACUGAAAUUAAAUGACAGCUGCUGAAACAUGAGAAAUACAAAGAGAGAGGAAGACCAUAAGCAAUGGUAAAAGGAUUAUACUUUUUAACAUAAAAAACCUCAGAAUAAGAAGAGACAAUCCAGGCAGAGAACAAACGAAGGCUAGGAAAACACUCCCAAACUCCUACCCUGAGGAUUGAAACUUGAAAUUUAUUUUAUUAUCUGUCUGGCAAAGACGCCUUUGUGUUCAGUCUACCCCUCUGUCGGAUUACAUGAACACACAGCUAGUGCAUAGAGAUUUCAAAAAAGUGGAAGGCAUAUAUCUGUGGGCUGAAAUUACUCCAUAAAAUAAACUUUCUGCAUGAAGGUGACUGAGCAAGAGCUAUACUUACAUCAUCUUGGUUCAGAAUCCUCUGCUGAUCGACAGACUAGCACUGUAACCGCAGUGAUGAGUCUUCGGUAGAUGACUAAUUCUAACAUUGCUAUUUUGGUGGAAAACUUGAACUGAGUAUUGCAUAUGAAUUGAGGAGACAUCACCCAGGGCUCAAAGCCUUCAGUAGCAUACAAAAAGCAAUAACUUUUUUUCUAGUCAGUGGCAACAUGUGAGCAAGAAGUGAACUUCUGCUUUACCUGCUCUCCUGAGACAGCAGCUUGAUGCAUGCUGUGUGCCCACAGUACACUGCAUAUGUCAGAGGAGUGUUUUCAUUGAUGUCUCGAGGGCUGCUGUCUAUCCCCAGUUCUAGCAGUGUCUGCACACAGUCAGCUUUCCCUGCUGCUGCAGCCCAGUGCAAAGGCGUCCUACAGAAAAGGGGGAGUAUCAUUAAAAUAGAUGAAUAAAUUUACUAUCAAAACUAUUAAUGACAUAAUAGGUGUGCUCCUAUGCUACUCGUCCAGAUUCAUGACAUCAGUUUUAGGGAAUUCUCCAGCAACUUAUCCCACAUUGAUGUAGCUGCCAGUGGCAGUAAUAAGGCCAUAGAGUGGCAUCUAUGUGCAUCUAUUUAACUGUAGAGAAAGUAGAUACAGGGCUGCAGAGUGCCUAUACAUGCUAUAUAAUAGCAUCUCUUCUGCUGCUGGAGUUGCAGACAGGGAGGAGUGCCUGAAGUUUUCAGAGCAGAAUUUGAAAAAAAUAUUUCUAGUGUCCACUGCAUAGGGACAAGCUCUUCUCAUCUUUACACCAAACACAAUUAGCAAUGAUUGGCUCAGGGCUCUCCAUGAAGGUAGUAGGAGAAGAAGCCUCCCCCAGAUGAAUGAGAAGGACUGGACGCAUCUACCAGACUGUCAUCACCCCUCUGCCAGUUUCUCCAUUCUUUGAUGGGCACAGACUGGAGCAGAUAUAAUUGUUUUGAAUCUGUGUAGGAGAAUCAGAUUUUCUGCUUGGCAGAAGAUUUGCGUCUUGUCUUUGGAAACUUUUGUCCAGUAGUUUCCAAAUGGUAAGAUUUUGUUUUUGUGAAAAAUCUGAAAGCCCAGAAAACACCAUAAGAAAACUGUGCAAGAAUAAAGAACAAAAUUGA